AUUGAACGCUGGCGGAAUGCUUUACACAUGCAAGUCGAACGGCAGCACGGGGGCAACCCUGGUGGCGAGUGGCGAACGGGUGAGUAAUACAUCGGAACGUGCCCGGUCGUGGGGGAUAACGUAGCGAAAGUUACGCUAAUACCGCAUACGAUCUGAGGAUGAAAGCGGGGGACCUUCGGGCCUCGCGCGAUCGGAGCGGCCGAUGUCAGAUUAGGUAGUUGGUUGGGUAAAGGCCUACCAAGCCGACGAUCCGUAGCCGGGCUGAGAGGACGACCAGCCACACUGGGAAUGAGACACGGCCCAGACUCCUACGGGAGGCAGCAGUGGGGAAUUUUGGACAAUGGGCGCAAGCCUGAUCCAGCCAUUCCGCGUGCAGGACGAAGGCCUUCGGGUUGUAAACUGCUUUUGUAUGGAACGAAAAGGCUCUGGCUAAUACCUGGGGCUCAUGACGGUACCGUAAGAAUAAGCACCGGCUAACUACGUG
This 484-nucleotide ribosomal RNA is filed under the name uncultured bacterium. RNAcentral describes it as "partial 16S ribosomal RNA". It matches the Rfam family "Bacterial small subunit ribosomal RNA", at positions 30 to 507 of the family's 1533-position model. The record is from RNAcentral.